AUUGAACGCUGGCGGCAGGCCUAACACAUGCACGUCGAACGAGUGGCGGACGGGUGAGUAAUGUCUGGGAAACUGCCUGAUGGAGGGGGAUAACUACUGGAAACGGUAGCUAAUACCGCAUACCCUCGGAUGUGCCCAGAUGGGAUUAGCUAGUAGGUGGGGUAACGGCUCACCUAGGCGACGAUCCCUAGCUGGUCUGAGAGGAUGACCAGCAACACGGGAACUGAGACACGGGCCAGACUCCUACGGGAGGCAGCAGUGGGGAAUAUUGCACAAUGGGCGCAAGCCUGAUGCAGCCAUGCCGCGUGUAUGAAGAAGGCCGUCGGGUUGUAAAGUACUUUCAGCGGGGAGGUGUUACCCGCAGAAGAAGCACCGGCUAACUCCGUGCCAGCAGCCGCGGUAAUUC
Molecule: ribosomal RNA, 406 nt
Filed under: uncultured bacterium
Lineage: Bacteria
Description: partial 16S ribosomal RNA
Rfam family: Bacterial small subunit ribosomal RNA
Source: RNAcentral